CUAUUAUUCUUUUUGUUAUAAAGUUAACCUGAGUAGUAUUAGUUAUGUUCUUAAAACUCAAAGAAUUUGGCGGUGUUUUAGUCCUUUCAGAGGAACCUGUCCCGUAAUCGAUAACCCCCGUUUUACUUAGCUCAAAUUUGUAGUCAGCUUGUAUACCGCCGUCAGAAGAUUAUUUCUAGAGAACAUAUUCUGGAAUUUUUAUUAAAAAAUAUGUCAGGUCAAGGUGCAGUUUAUGUUUGAGAGGAGAUGGGUUACAAUAUAAGUAGAUAAAUGGAAUAAAUUUUGUAAUAAAUUUAGGAAAGUGGAUUUGAAUGUAAUGAAAAUGAGAUUAGUUUUAUGAUAACGGCUCUAAAACAUGUACA
This 362-nucleotide ribosomal RNA is filed under the name Nesameletus ornatus. Its description in RNAcentral is "partial 12S ribosomal RNA". The record is from RNAcentral. Lineage: Eukaryota; Metazoa; Arthropoda; Insecta; Ephemeroptera; Nesameletidae.